RNAcentral lists this ribosomal RNA (253 nucleotides) under uncultured bacterium. RNAcentral describes it as "partial 16S ribosomal RNA". It matches the Rfam family "Bacterial small subunit ribosomal RNA", at positions 524 to 776 of the family's 1533-position model. The record is from RNAcentral.
UACAGAGGUCCCGAGCGUUGUUCGGAUUCACUGGGCGUAAAGGGUGCGUAGGUGGCGAGGUAAGUCGGAUGUGAAAGCUCGGAGCUCAGCUCCGAAAUGGCAUUGGAAACUACCUUGCUCGAGGGUUGGAGGGGGGACUGGAAUACUUGGUGUAGCAGUGAAAUGCGUAGAUAUCAAGUGGAACACCAGUGGCGAAGGCGAGUCCCUGGACAACUCCUGACACUGAGGCACGAAAGCUAGGGGAGCAAACAGG